CAGCAGAGAGCGUCUUUUGUUGCGAUAACAACAGCUACUGUUAAAGUGUCCUAGAGCGCUAUGUGGAGAGGUGCUAACGUUAGAUAAAACAAAGUGGUGGAGAGAGCUAAAGAAAGAAGAGAGAGAGAGAGAGAGAGAGGUGCUAACUUUAGAUAAACCAAAGCGGUUGAGUGAGCUAGAGAAAGAACAGAGAGAGAGAUGGUGCUAACGGUAGAUAAAACAAAGCGGCUAAGUGAGCUAGAGAAAGAACAGAGAGAGAGAGGUGCUAACGGUAGAUAAAACAAAGCGGGUAAGAGAGCUAGAGAAAGAACAGAGAGAGAGAGUGAACAUAGCGUAACAUACUUGCCAAAUAACAAUAUAAAGUUAAACAAUCAUGAAUGCCCAGAUCAACACAAACCCUUAUUAUAAUGAGGACAUACACAAUAUUUCACUUUCAUGCUCAAAGCUUGUAAACAUCAGCAAAACAUUUGUCAAGAUGGCGUCUGCUCUUCAUUAGCUACAUUUCUACAUUUUCUCCACUUACCUCUGCUUCGUUUACCUGCUGUUGAACAUUAAGUCUUGGCUGCUUGGCAGGUCGGUGCAGAUUGAUGACAGAAGCUGAUGCCACAUAUUUUAAUCAAAAUAACAUCUGUAAUUAACAGAAGAAAGACAUUGAGUUGCACUGUAGUUUCUACUAGUGCAAUGGCUGUCGACGUCGACACGAGCUUUUUCAAAACU
Long non-coding RNA from Etheostoma spectabile (orangethroat darter), 717 nucleotides. RefSeq lists it as uncharacterized. Lineage: Eukaryota; Metazoa; Chordata; Actinopteri; Perciformes; Percidae. The transcript has 2 exons. The record is from RefSeq and is a predicted model, not a curated record.